UCAAGAUUCUCCCGCGUUAAGUGAACUUCAAAUUAAAAGUAUAGCCUCAAGUGAAACCAGCAACUAACACCAAAACGGCAUCGGCGUCAUCAACAGAUGACUAAUCACUGAAGCUCACCGUUGUAAUUUCACUCCUGCGAUCAAAACUUCUGCAGAAACAGCCUCCUCCUGCUCCUCCUCCUCCUAACAAUCUUCCUUCGGAAUCCGACGCUCUUCGCUGGAUUUUCAUCGAUCUCUAUUCUCUGUUUGGAACACAAUAAAAUGCAGACAUUUGAGUCAAAAUUUAACGCGAUUAGGUUUUGACAAAACAAACAGAGCAUAAUUGCGCUCUGUUUUGUUUUUUUUUUUUGAAAGACUGAAGAGCGAAAACAAGAGCUUCGACUGAGAGAAGAUCUCAAGGAAGCUGAAGGUUAUAGAAUUUGUUUCUCUCUCUUUCCGCUUAGGUUUUUCAAAAAAAAUUUUCUUAUUUUUUGUGUGUGUUAUAGAUGCUUCACAGUGUGAUUUGUUUCCACAAACUAGGUUAUGCAAAUGCUUUUUCUUUAAUAAUUUGGGGAAAUUAAGGCCUAAGCAAGCCGGAGACGGCUCUGAUCGCAGAUUUAACGAUGCUCUUCACCGUCGAUUUCUUAGACAAGUGCCGUUAAAGAUAAACAAGGAAGAAGAACAAAUAAUUCAAAUAGAAAACUACAAUUUUCGGGUGAUUCGACUGACCAUUUUUACCUCAAAUUAGCGGCAUUUUGAAUCAGUGCGGUUAAUUGAGUUAAUUCAAGUGCUGUUGCGUAAUCUCCAGGAAAUAGUAUUUUCUUUAAUUUUUUAACACCAUGAAUGGAAUAUUUAUUGCUUUGAAAUGCGUUUUGAUUAAUAUAUUUAAUUUGCUUCACAUGAGUUAUCUGUAAUUUUUGACACUAUGAGAUCAAUAGAGAUUUGUUUUCUUCA
Molecule: long non-coding RNA, 933 nt
Organism: Populus nigra (black poplar)
Lineage: Eukaryota; Viridiplantae; Streptophyta; Magnoliopsida; Malpighiales; Salicaceae
Exons: 2
Source: RefSeq, a predicted model, not a curated record